CCUGCUGUGACAGGCUCAGUUCUCUCGGAGAUGCUUCUGCCUCUGCUUCCCAGAGUCAGGCACAGCCCGGCCGCACUCAAGGUCACCAGGGGUCAGGACUGGAGCCCGGCCUUCCCGUGCCCCAGUGCUCUCGCCUCCCUCCUGGAAGGGGGACGUGUGGUGCUGAGGUUCUGCCCCAACUGCUUGCUGGCGUAGCUCAAGGGAGGACAGACUUGGCCUUGGUCCCGAGAGACACGGAGGAUGUGUCUCAGGGUCCUGGGGCCCGCGGCCACCCCCAGUGCCCCCACCACCUUCCAGAAGACUCCCCAGGGCGCAACCAGCCAGGAAGCACCCAGGACAGGGGACACCGAGGCCUGGGCCGGGCCCUGUCCCCAGCAGCAGCACCUCCUCACAGAGCACCCGACACUGUGGUCACCUCGCGUGUAAACCUCUCCAGGCUCCAUUGCUCCCAGGGUGAGGCCAGGCUCCCCAGCCGUGGCCCUGCCCGGUGUCCAGGUGACCUGGGACAAGGUGGCUUUGCACACGCUGCUCUGUCUCUGUCCCCUGCACCCUUCCCUCCUCCCCCGCCUCGUUUCUACCUGGAGCAGGUGGGCUCUGCUCCUCCCCUUCACCUGGGUGCAGGUGGAUCCUUCAAACCUCACCUCCCAGCUCCCUGGAUGCCCAGAGGGGACCGAGGGACAAGCCCCCCACACCUGUCUGUCUGUCUCUCUCCUCCCUCCCUCCUUCCCCACCUCAGGCAGCGUCUGCUUGGUGAAUCCUCAUGUCUGUGGUCCCAGCUUAGGAGCCGGCUCCUCUUCCUCUGUCCAGCCCACCCAGGGCGGCAGCAGCUUUGUGUCAUUCUUUCACCUUUUCAUCCUAGGCACUGAAUCCAGGACCUUUGCACUGAGUUACAUCUACAGCCCUUUUUUAUUUGGAGACAGGGUCUCAUGAGUCACUAAGUUGCCCAGGCUGGGCUUGAGUCAGUGAUCCUCCUGCCUCAGCCUCCCAGAGUGCUGGGAUCACAGGUGUGCACCACCAUGCCAGCUUCCCACCCUCUUUUUUUUUUUUUUUGUACCGCGGAUCGAACUCAGGACCUUAUGCUUGUAAGGCAGGUGGUGGAACCACUGAGCUAAAUCCCUGGCCCAUUCCCACCCUUCUUAACUUUGAUUUGGCCCCACUUCCCAUUUUCUCCUUUUGCGCGUUGUCACUUCCCCCCCAGUCCUCUGGCUCACCCCCUUCCACUUCAGCCCAGUCCCUGUCCAGCCUUGCAGCCACUGAUCCCACAGGGGCUUCUGGCCCGAGGCUGACUCAGGACCCAGGGGACAGGCCGGGUGUUUGUUCCCCUGCAUACUAACUGCUGCUUGUGCUUAUGCAUUCAUGAGUGUGGUCACCUGCUCCACCCACCUCCCCACACCUGCAAGUCCCUGAGGGUGGGGGCCCAGCCUUCAUUGGGUGCUGGCACCUGGGAGGGGACCUCAGCUGAUGCCAGCCAGGGAGUAGGAGCACGGGGAGGACCUUGCUCCAGGCCUCUCUUCCCUUCUCCCUGAGGUGACUGAGUACACUGCUCAGAGAAGCUCCCCAUUCAUUCAUUGCACUGAGAUUCUUCAGCGUCUGGUGGCACCAGAUGGGCAGAUGGUGGCGGCCGGGAGUGAGGAUGACGGUGGGCAGAUGGAUGGAAAGAUAGGUGGCUGGCUUGUGCAGCUCUAGAGGUGCAGAUAAGGGAUCGAGCCGCAAAUGACAAUGUGGGCCCGAAGGAG
RNAcentral lists this long non-coding RNA (1736 nucleotides) under Heterocephalus glaber (naked mole-rat). Its description in RNAcentral is "lncRNA (ENSHGLG00100047448.1)". The record is from RNAcentral. Lineage: Eukaryota; Metazoa; Chordata; Mammalia; Rodentia; Bathyergidae.